UGUUUGAUAUAUAGAUUUUUGUUUACUGGAUUUUUUUAUUUACAAAUUCUUAGCUCAUCAGUUUUCUUAUCUACAAAUCUCAGGUUAGCUUCUUUUUGUGUUAUAGUUUGUUGGGUUUAUAUAUAUACCAUUUUUAACUGCAAUUUGUUCUCUCAUGGAGAAUACUGGGAAUUUUAGAUUGGUUUUUGGGAUUUCAUUUCUCUUUUGUUUACUUAAUCUUUCAGUGGGAUUCAACCCUGUAAAUAACUAAUAAACGACUCACUUGUUGAACCAAGUAGAAGAAAUCAAAACCCUUUGGAACACCAAGAAUUGCCAGACAUUGUAAAACUAAAAAAUUGAUCAAGGCUAAACACUUGAACUUCAUUUCCUUUUCCUCUUUUCCCUUUGUCUCAACUAAUUAAAGUUUGAAGAGUUUUGAGAAUGAUAUCACGUUGAUAAGCUGUUUUUGUAAGUACAAAUGGAAGGCUUAUGGAGGAGGAAUCGGAAGCCAGAUAUGCUAAAGUUCAAAAUGCUUAUGUAUUUGAUGUUUUCCAAAUAACUGCAAUCUGGUAGCUCAAUUACAUGUUCAUAUUAAUUCCAUUUUUUU
This 586-nucleotide long non-coding RNA is filed under the name Gossypium barbadense (sea-island cotton). Its description in RNAcentral is "long non-coding RNA (GBAR_LNC016448)". The record is from RNAcentral. Lineage: Eukaryota; Viridiplantae; Streptophyta; Magnoliopsida; Malvales; Malvaceae.